This 500-nucleotide ribosomal RNA is filed under the name uncultured bacterium. RNAcentral's name for it is "partial 16S ribosomal RNA". It matches the Rfam family "Bacterial small subunit ribosomal RNA", at positions 28 to 507 of the family's 1533-position model. The record is from RNAcentral.
GACGAACGCUGGCGGCGUGCUUAACACAUGCAAGUCGAACGGGUCUGCCCUGUUUUUUGCGGGGUGGGUCAGUGGCGAACGGGUGAGUAACACGUGAGUAACCUGCCCCUCACUUCUGGAUAACCGCUUGAAAGGGUGGCUAAUACGGGGUGUUCUGGCUGUGCCGCAUGGUGUGGCUGGGAAAGAUUCACUUUUGUGGUGUUUUGGUGGGGGAUGGGCUCGCGGCCUAUCAGCUUGUUGGUGGGGUGAUGGCCUGCCAAGGCUUUGACGGGUAGCCGGCCUGAGAGGGUGGGCGGUCACACUGGGACGGAGAUACGGCCCAGACUCCUGCGGGAGGCAGCAGUGGGGGGUAUUGCACAAUGGGCGGAAGCCUGAUGCAGCGACGUCGCGUGAGGGAUGGAGGCCUGCGGGUUGUGAACCUCUUUCGCCGGUGAAGAAGGUCCUGCUCUUUGUGGGGGGGUUGACGGUAGCCGGGUUAUGAAGCGCCGGCUAACUACGUG